Non-coding RNA from Musa acuminata subsp. malaccensis (wild Malaysian banana), 1035 nucleotides. The record is from RefSeq and is a predicted model, not a curated record. NCBI's taxonomy places the organism in Eukaryota, Viridiplantae, Streptophyta, Magnoliopsida, Zingiberales, Musaceae.
CUGGGCACGGGUUCGGGUGUGCAGACGGCGGGAGAUGUUGGAAGGGUACGCGAUUCGGUAAAAGGACCGACGGAGAGGGCGUUGAUGUCCGUGUGCAAUUGGCGUUUGGAAAGCGCCAGGUGAGAGAGAUCAGAUCGUUCGAUAUGGUUAUCCGUGGGCAUUGAAUUCUUGUUCUGCUUGUGUUCGUCCGAUUUGAUGUUCUCAAAGGUGGCCAAGGAUUUUUAGCUCUGAAAAGAGGUAGAUUAUAGGAGGCGGUCAUCUGUGGGAAGAUUUUUGUUUCUUUCAUUGAUUCCGAUGGGAAAGACGAGAUCUUGCUGAUCGUUAGUGGAAUAUUGGCAAAAGAGAUUCCAUUUUUGUGUGUUUUGGUUCAGAAGAUUGAUUCUGAGAGCGGUAUCCGGUUUCGCAGAUAUGGCUAUGCUUUUUAAUCUUCUCUCUUAUUGGCUUUGGGGAAGAAAAGGUCGUCAAUCUCCCGAGCAAUCACUGAGUUCUUCGUCUGAUUACCUCACGGGGUACAGGGAUCCGGAUUCUUUGAAGAUUGCAGCAGGUAACGUGCCUCAGAUCCGAUCGAAAUGCAUGGGUGAUUUUGAUGAUCCGGAUUGGGCGAUUGGGUGGUUGGAACCGCAUGCAUCCGAGUUCCUGUCUGAGAGCGAGACGGAGAACGGCUUUGCCGUCUUGGUCCCAUGCUAUACGCGAGGUUGCUACGCGCAGGUUGAUUUCUCCAAAGAAGCAUGUUUUGGGUACUAUUGGUCUCAACAACGAUGAUCAUUCUGAAGGCAAAAAGGAUAUCGAACAGUGGCUUGCAGAACAAUUGUCAGCGUGAAACAACUACAAGUAGGCUUGAUCUUUAUAGUGUUCAGUAUAAACUGAAGAUAAGAGGAUAUUGAUACUUGAGAUAAAAAAGGUGAAAAAAGAGAAAAAUGAUUAAAUAAUUAGAAUAGGAGCUGUAGGAUGUUUUGGUAUUUAAACUUGUUGCUGAACUAUCAGAGUGUAUAUUCAGAAGCAAAAAAUUCAUUACAAGUUGCAAGAGAAGUGAAA